RNAcentral lists this ribosomal RNA (121 nucleotides) under Hadesarchaea archaeon DG-33-1. The record is from RNAcentral. Lineage: Archaea; Methanobacteriati; Hadarchaeota (SeqCode); Hadarchaeia (SeqCode).
GUUGGCGGCCACGGCGGCGGGGUCACACCCGGUCUCGUCAGAUCCCGGAAGUUAAGCCCGCCAGCGAUUCGGGUUGUACUCUUGUGCGAGAGCCAAGGGAAACCCCGAGACGCUGCCAGCC